This 253-nucleotide ribosomal RNA is filed under the name uncultured bacterium. Its description in RNAcentral is "partial 16S ribosomal RNA". It matches the Rfam family "Bacterial small subunit ribosomal RNA", at positions 524 to 776 of the family's 1533-position model. The record is from RNAcentral.
UACGUAGGGUGCAAGCGUUGUCCGGAAUUAUUGGGCGUAAAGAGCUCGUAGGCGGUUUGUCGCGUCUGCUGUGAAAACUCGGGGCUUAACCCCGGGCCUGCAGUGGGUACGGGCAGACUAGAGUGCGGUAGGGGAGACUGGAAUUCCUGGUGUAGCGGUGAAAUGCGCAGAUAUCAGGAGGAACACCGGUGGUGUAGACGGCUUUCUGGACCGUAACUGACGCUGAGACACGAAAGCGUGGGUAGCAAACAGG